This 507-nucleotide ribosomal RNA is filed under the name Escherichia coli. RNAcentral describes it as "partial 23S ribosomal RNA". It matches the Rfam family "Bacterial large subunit ribosomal RNA", at positions 418 to 928 of the family's 2925-position model. The record is from RNAcentral. Lineage: Bacteria; Pseudomonadati; Pseudomonadota; Gammaproteobacteria; Enterobacterales; Enterobacteriaceae.
CGGGACACGUGGUAUCCUGUCUGAAUAUGGGGGGACCAUCCUCCAAGGCUAAAUACUCCUGACUGACCGAUAGUGAACCAGUACCGUGAGGGAAAGGCGAAAAGAACCCCGGCGAGGGGAGUGAAAAAGAACCUGAAACCGUGUACGUACAAGCAGUGGGAGCCUCUUUAUGGGGUGACUGCGUACCUUUUGUAUAAUGGGUCAGCGACUUAUAUUCUGUAGCAAGGUUAACCGAAUAGGGGAGCCGAAGGGAAACCGAGUCUUAACUGGGCGUUAAGUUGCAGGGUAUAGACCCGAAACCCGGUGAUCUAGCCAUGGGCAGGUUGAAGGUUGGGUAACACUAACUGGAGGACCGAACCGACUAAUGUUGAAAAAUUAGCGGAUGACUUGUGGCUGGGGGUGAAAGGCCAAUCAAACCGGGAGAUAGCUGGUUCUCCCCGAAAGCUAUUUAGGUAGCGCCUCGUGAAUUCAUCUCCGGGGGUAGAGCACUGUUUCGGCAAGGGGGUC